GGCCAAAGAACUGGUUACUUCUUGUACGUGAGGCAGGACGAUCUGAGCUCCGGCCCGGACGGAGGGCGAGCACUCGGCUCCCUUCAGUUCAGCACAGAGGAGCAGACCUGCUGCUGAGCUGCCGUGCAGCACGAGCUGGGGGAGCGGGAAAUCAUGACCCACAGGCUUGUCUUCAGAGAGCCUGUUGAGGGUGGCAUGUGAUGGGCACCUGAGCACCCAGGACUUUAAGGAAACUACAUCAUCAUUACGAAGACUGGGGAGCAACAGCGUCAUGGGCACCGCUCUGCUCUGCAUGAAGGAGUCCGACAGCUGCCAGCGGGGAGCUUUGGUGGUGCCAAAUCCCCUGGAGAGAGGAGGCUGCAGCCCCAGGCAGCAGGGAGCCCUGGAGGAAGCUGCCUCUGCAGACUCGCGGGAAUGCCAGCUCCGGGUUUCAUUCCUUUGUUCACUGCUGCUUCCCAAGUGCCAGACGGAGCCUGGAACUCAGUGGCUGCUCUAAAGAUACUGUUGAAUGAGUAAAUGAACGGAAUUGCACAGGAGCGAGGCCACAGUUCUACAGCUGAGCUGCCUGUCACGGCCCUCACCCAACCACCACUGCUGGAAAUGUGCAGACAGGGUGUGCCUCUCCCGUUUAAGGGAAAUGUAUUGAGAUAUCAUUCACAUACAUGGCACGUGCUCAGGGAGCCCCCCAGGAUGACAGAGCUCACCCAUCACCCCACAGAACGUCUCUGCCCCAUCCAGGCAGGCCCCAGAGUACACUGGGUCUGGCUUCUUUAGUCAGAGGUGGUUUGAGUGAGUCUAGAGACUUCAUAGAAUCUGGGUCACAGAGCAGGCACCCUUUUCCAUCUGGUGUCUUCCACUCAGCGUAGCGGUCCCGAGAUCCAGCGUGUCUCUGCUAGGAUCAGCGGUUUGCUCCUUGGUGUUGCUGAGGAAAAUUCUACUGCAUGGAACACCACCAUCUAUCCACACUGGAUAGACACCAGAUGAGUGCUUCCGCCUGCUGUGAAUGAAGCUCCUAUGAACAGUCUCAUAUUAGGUAUGAAAGGAAAAUAAAUCAAUCACUAAACAAAGGGGAAAGUCAAGCUGGGAGCUGCCUCCCAUCCUAUUCCUAAAUAAGAUAGCUACAAAGAUAAAAACGCUGUUCCUCCCUCACAAUUUGCUCACAAGGAACUUCCUUGUGGAACAAGGACAGACAGAACUCAAUCAUCCCUCCGCUCACAUGAGACAAACACAGAUCGGAAUGCUUCCUCCGCCCUGUUGUUUCACCCAGCCAGACUAAGGCAUACGUAACUAUUCCAGUAAAUUGUGCAUUCGGUGAAAGGCUAAUCAGAAACUUAAAAGAAUGCAGCCAUUUGUCUCUUAUCUACCUACAACCUGGAAGCCCCCUGCGCGCUUUGACUUGUCCUGUCUUUCCAGAUAGAACCAAUGUACAUCAUACAUAUAAUGAUUGAUGUCUCAUGUCUCCCUAAAAUGUAUAAAACCAAGCUGUUCCCCGACCACCAUCACCAGGACCUCCUGAGGCUGUGUCACGGCACGUCCUCAACCUUGGCAAAAUAACUUUCUAAAUUUAUUGAGACUUGUCUCAGAUACUUUUUGGUUUACAAAGGUGUUUGUGGACAUGUAUAUUCAUUUCUCAUAGAUAAGUACCUAGAAGUUGAAUUGCUUAGACAUGAGUAAAUGUAUGUUUAACUUUUUCAGAAACUCCCGAACAUAUUUCCAAACUAUACCGUUUUACACUCUGUCAGCAGAAUUUAAAAGUUUCCACUGAACCACAUCCUUGUCAACGUUUGGUAUUGUCAAUAUGUUUAAGUUAUUGAUAUUGUUCUAGUGAAUGUGUAGAGACAUCUCGUUUUGGUUUUAAUUUGCAUUUUCCUAAUGAGGAAUAAUACUGAGAAAUUUUUUCUUUCAUAUUGUCAUAUAUGUGUCUUCUUUCUUAAAGUGCCUAGUCAAAUAUUUUGCUCAUUUUUUAUUGCUUUUUAUUAUAAACUGUGUUUUUUUAAAUAUUAUCUUAACACACGUCUUUUGGCUGAUAUAAUAUUGUAAAUAUUUUCUCCCAUUCUGUGGUCUACUUAUUGUUUCCUAAUGCUGUCUUUUGAAGAGCAAAAUAUUUUUCUCCAUUUAUGGAGACAAGAUGGUCAACUUAGCUAUUCCAAAAUGUUUUUAAAAUUCUAGUUUGUUUUAAAACAACCACAGCAAACUGCAUGGAUUUGUUCCACAUCUUUGAAAGAAAAACAUUAUUUUAUUUAUUUCACAGUGGAAGAUAAGUCAGUAAGGCCCCACUUCGGCAGGUUUUGUUUUCGUUUCCUCAUGCCUCUGCAAUGCUCGGAGUCACCCACGCCUUACUCACUGCGGCUGGAACGAACCCAGACUCCUCACUCCUCCCACAGCCUCUGGCGCAGGGCGCUCCUUGCUUGAAAGAAACGUUUGCGAUUUUUAGUGGAAACGUCCGUGUUUUCUUGGUAACUGGUAAAUGGCUGUAGAUUACUGACACGCGGUCCUUUGUACGUAACAGAAGGCUUUGAGUGUUUCUGUGAGGAUCACCCUGUGAAGAAACGGCUGCAGUGAGAGCAGCCGAGGCGGGACGCAGCCCCGGACGUGGGGUCAGAGAGGAGCCCUUGCUUUGUUAUCCGGAGGGUAGCCACGGUUUUAGCUCACAGUGAUGUCAACUUGAAGCUUCUCUCCACAAGCAGCUGUGACCUCAGCUGCCGUGCAGUCAGCUUCCCCGGCCUCCCUCCCCAGCCUCCCUGGUCUCCCAGGCACAAGGCUGGGCACUGGCUUCAGAGUGGCUGCAAGGGCACGGCCCCCAGGCCUAGGGCUGAUCAGCGUGAACAGUACCCAGCACACUUGCUUCAAAAAGUAAGAAGAUAUAGAACACAAGCUGCUUGUUCUCAUGACUAUAGCACAAACUAUAAAACAAAACAUCUUCCUCCAGAACACGGCAAGCUGGAUGGACAGUGAUCUGGACAAAAAUUUGCUGUAGGUUUUGUAACUGGGGUUCAGUGAGGACCAGGCUCCCCAGAGCAUACAUGUGGAGACAAUUAAGUUGAUCCCAUUUUCCAAGACUCAGAGGAGAUGUAUUUAUAUUAGGAAUAUAAACUUGCUAUUAAUGCAACUUCAGAAUGUCCAGGUCAUCCGUUGGGAAAAAAAAAAGAGUAAGUCUAGGGCUGGUUCGUGCUGUUGCUACAUGGAGGGAAUCCACAUCCAAGCCUGCCGCUCACAUGCUGGGACACAUUGCCUCAGCCUCCAUCUCUGGGAGUCCCACGCUUUCUCUCCUGGGUUGUCCCACUAUUCCUUUUGAAGUCCUCAUGUUAGUGACAGUUCAAUUUUCUCUUCACCUUCAAAAUUGCAGAGAACCUAAUUUCUACUGACCAGUCAAGCUUGUUUCAUUUAUCUUCCAUGUUAACUUCAAUUAAAAUGUUAACCAUCUGGAAUCUUUGGCCUCUUAUGUGACAAAAAUAGGCAUUAAAUUGUAUCAUUUCUUAAAUUCUCUGUUGAAAAGUCCAAAUACGUUACUGAAUAUGAUACAGAUUAGUAAGAAUUUGGGCUCAUUAAAUGUAAGAUAAUUUCAUAGCUUAAGGUAAUUUCACACCCCAAGGGACUUAUAACCUAAACACAAAGCAGAUCACCAACAUUAACUGUCAGCUGUCCACUGGAGAACUAUCUCAGACAAAAAAAUAAAAUUUGGAUUAGCUCUCCAUGGUGCACAAUACUUUCAUGAACCAUCUCUUUUGGGUUGGCAGCUGCAGUGUGUUCUGAGAGUAUGUUAAUGCUACAAUAACAGUAAAAAUAAAAUUAAGUUGGGAACAUACAGAAAAAAAGAAAUUGAUUACAUUAUUCCUAAUGACGACCUGAAUCAAAGUUGGCACUAAAUAAAUUUUUGUCAGAAAGGAGAAAAGAAAUGAGAGAAAUAAAAGAGAGGAGGCAGGAUUUUAUAUUCUGCUCCCUUUUUGGAAAA
RNAcentral lists this long non-coding RNA (3952 nucleotides) under Homo sapiens (human). RNAcentral describes it as "HSALNT0117173". Lineage: Eukaryota; Metazoa; Chordata; Mammalia; Primates; Hominidae. The record is from RNAcentral.